ACACGACUACAUUAGAUACCCGUGUAGUCCCAGCCGUAAACGAUGCGCGUUAGGUGUAUCGGUGACCACGAGUCACCGAGGUGCCGAAGGGAAACCGUGAAACGUGCCGCCUGGGAAGUACGGUCGCAAGGCUGAAACUUAAAGGAAUUGGCGGGGAGCACCACAACGGGUGGAGCCUGCGGUUUAAUUGGACUCAACGCCGGGAAGCUCACCGGAUAAGACAGCGGAAUGAUUGCCGGGCUGAAGACUCUGCAUGACUAGCUG
RNAcentral lists this ribosomal RNA (264 nucleotides) under uncultured archaeon. Its description in RNAcentral is "partial 16S ribosomal RNA". It matches the Rfam family "Archaeal small subunit ribosomal RNA", at positions 719 to 982 of the family's 1478-position model. The record is from RNAcentral.